UACGAAGGGGGCUAGCGUUGUUCGGAAUCACUGGGCGUAAAGGGUGCGUAGGCUGCACGGUAAGUCAGAGGUGAAAUCCCGGAGCUCAACUUCGGAAUUGCCUCCGAUACUGCCGUGCUUGAGGACUGGAGAGGAGAUUGGAAUUCACAGUGGAGCAGUGAAAUGCGUAGAUAUUGUGAGGAACACUAGUGGCGAAGGCGAAUCUCUGGACAGUUCCUGACGCUGAGGCACGAAGGCCAGGGGAGCAAACGGG
RNAcentral lists this ribosomal RNA (253 nucleotides) under uncultured bacterium. Its description in RNAcentral is "partial 16S ribosomal RNA". It matches the Rfam family "Bacterial small subunit ribosomal RNA", at positions 524 to 776 of the family's 1533-position model. The record is from RNAcentral.